AGCUGAGUGGCGCAGCGGAAGCGCGCCGGGCUCAUAACCCGGAGGACCUACGAUCGAAACGUAGCUCAGCUA
This is a transfer RNA of Paraphaeosphaeria sporulosa, 72 nucleotides long. It matches the Rfam family "tRNA". Rfam says of the family: Transfer RNA (tRNA) molecules are approximately 80 nucleotides in length. Their secondary structure includes four short double-helical elements and three loops (D, anti-codon, and T loops). The record is from Rfam. Lineage: Eukaryota; Fungi; Ascomycota; Dothideomycetes; Pleosporales; Didymosphaeriaceae.